This 150-nucleotide ribosomal RNA is filed under the name Domeykoa oppositifolia. RNAcentral's name for it is "5.8S ribosomal RNA". It matches the Rfam family "5.8S ribosomal RNA". Rfam says of the family: 5.8S ribosomal RNA (5.8S rRNA) is a component of the large subunit of the eukaryotic ribosome. It is transcribed by RNA polymerase I as part of the 45S precursor that also contains 18S and 28S rRNA. The record is from RNAcentral. Lineage: Eukaryota; Viridiplantae; Streptophyta; Magnoliopsida; Apiales; Apiaceae.
CAACGGAUAUCUUGGUACUCGCAUCGAUGAAGAACGUAGCGAAAUGCGAUACUUGGUGUGAAUUGCAGAAUCCCGUGAACCAUCGAGUUUUUGAACGCAAGUUGCGCCCGAAGCCAUCAGGCCGAGGGCACGUCUGCCUGGGCGUCACAC